Long non-coding RNA from Dermacentor silvarum, 321 nucleotides. RefSeq lists it as uncharacterized. The transcript is spliced from 3 exons. NCBI's taxonomy places the organism in Eukaryota, Metazoa, Arthropoda, Arachnida, Ixodida, Ixodidae. The record is from RefSeq and is a predicted model, not a curated record.
GACAUGUAUGCUGUGUCAGGAGCCACGUACCAGCAGAGCCUUUCGGGCUUCGCCUUUGUUGCAUCCGCUUGUAUUGACACCCGGGAACAACUCGGCGAGGACACGGCAUACUCUUACAGAAUGAUUCGCAUCGCCGCUCAUGAAGUGGCGCACACGCUGGGAUGCCCUCACGAUGGCACAAGUAUUGAGGGCCACAUUAAAGUAUUUCGGCCAGACGCUGGCAAUUGCCCAUGGGAUCAAGGAUACAUAAUGAGCUACCUCGAAGAAAAUGGCAACAGCAUGAAGUUCUCUAGUUGCUGCAACUACCAGAUGUCCCUUUUG